RNAcentral lists this ribosomal RNA (443 nucleotides) under uncultured bacterium. RNAcentral describes it as "partial 16S ribosomal RNA". It matches the Rfam family "Bacterial small subunit ribosomal RNA", at positions 338 to 795 of the family's 1533-position model. The record is from RNAcentral.
CCUACUGGAGGCUGCAGUGGGGAAUAUUGGGCAAUGGAGGAAACUCUGACCCAGCAACGCCGCGUGAAUGAUGAAGGUCUUCGGAUUGUAAAGUUCUUUUCUAAGGGAAGAAGAAAGUGACGGUACCUUAGGAAUAAGCCUCGGCUAACUACGUGCCAGCAGCCGCGGUAAUACGUAGGAGGCAAGCGUUAUCCGGAAUGACUGGGCGUAAAGGGUGCGUAGGUGGUUCAGCAAGUUAGUAGCGUAAUUCCGGAGCUCAACUUCGGCACUACUACUAAAACUGUUGGACUUGAGUGCAGGAGGGGCAACUGGAAUUUCUAGUGUAGCGGUGGAAUGCGUAGAUAUUAGGAAGAACACCGGUGGCGAAGGCGAGUUGCUGGACUGUAACUGACACUGAGGCACGAAAGCGUGGGGAGCAAACAGGAUUAGAUACCCGUGUAGUC